CCCCCUCUCCCCCCGCCCGCUCGCCGCCUUCCUCCCUGUGCCUUCCUUCCCCACGGCCGGCCGCCUCCUCGCCCGCCCGCCCGCAGCCGAGGAGCCGAGGCCGCCGCGGCCGUGGCGGCGGAGCCCUCAGCCAUGGCCUCGGGCGACACCCUCUACAUCGCCACGGACGGCUCGGAGAUGCCGGCCGAGAUCGUGGAACUGCACGAGAUCGAGGUGGAAACCAUCCCGGUGGAGACCAUCGAGACCACAGUGGUGGGCGAGGAGGAAGAGGAGGAAGACGACGACGAGGACGGCGGCGGCGGCGACCACGGCGGCGGGGGCGGCCACGGGCACGCCGGCCACCACCACCACCACCACCACCACCACCACCCGCCCAUGAUCGCCCUGCAGCCGCUCGUCACCGACGACCCGACCCAGGUGCACCACCACCAGGAGGUGAUCCUGGUGCAGACGCGCGAGGAGGUGGUGGGCGGCGACGACUCGGACGGGCUGCGCGCCGAGGACGGCUUCGAGGACCAGAUCCUCAUCCCGGUGCCCGCGCCGGCCGGCGGCGACGACGACUACAUCGAGCAGACGCUGGUCACCGUGGCGGCAGCCGGCAAGAGCGGCGGUGGCGGCUCGUCGUCGUCGGGCGGCGGCCGCGUCAAGAAGGGCGGCGGCAAGAAGAGCGGCAAGAAGAGUUACCUCAGCGGCGGGGCCGGCGCGGCGGGCGGCGGCGGCGCCGACCCGGGCAACAAGAAGUGGGAGCAGAAGCAGGUGCAGAUCAAGACCCUGGAGGGCGAGUUCUCGGUCACCAUGUGGUCCUCAGGUGAGCGCCAGCCGCGCGCCCCGGCCCCAGGAUGUUUUUGUUUUGAAGGGAAGCCAUGUUUUAUGUGUGUGAUGGGCGCCGCCAUCUUCUUCGCCAGGGCAAGUAUGGCGGCCCCAAAAGAUGGCGGGCCGUGCGGCGGCGGGGGCGCGGCGGGCGGCGGCGGCGGGCGGCGGGCCGCGAAGAUGGCGGCCGGCCCGCGCGGGGGAGGGGCGGCGCCGCCCGGCUAG
RNA transcript from Propithecus coquereli (Coquerel's sifaka), 1035 nucleotides. It is a transcript of the gene named transcriptional repressor protein YY1 pseudogene, with no coding region annotated. Lineage: Eukaryota; Metazoa; Chordata; Mammalia; Primates; Indriidae. The transcript has a single exon. The record is from RefSeq and is a predicted model, not a curated record.